Molecule: long non-coding RNA, 1327 nt
Filed under: Equus caballus (horse)
Lineage: Eukaryota; Metazoa; Chordata; Mammalia; Perissodactyla; Equidae
Description: lncRNA (ENSECAG00000036688.2)
Source: RNAcentral
GUGGAGACAAUAGCUCCCGUGAACACAAGCAGACAAGGCUCAAUGCAGCUUUCUUCCCCUCCUCAAUGCAGCUUUGAUCCAGCCAGGGCUACCGGGAGGAAUUUCAGUCUAACUGGGGCAGCCCUACCUGGGAACCAUGCCUCACUCUGUGGGGGUGGCUCCUCCCAUUAUUGGGGAGGUUAUCGGGAGCCGGCAUGGAAAGUUCCAUAAACAUGGAGCACCAGCACCCCACCAGCGCCUCCACACACCAGCCUGAUUGAAUUUAGCACAUGUCUUUGCUAUAGGUACGAUUGGCGAUGACAGUUGUCAAGCUGUUGUGGCUCAGUCUCAAAGUCACUACCGUUUUGUGACGCAGGGGCUGGAACUGCCACUUCUCCCAGCUAACUGGCGCCAUGUCAGGUUCUGCCACUAGGAGGCGCCAGAGGGAGAUCGCAAAGCUGGAGGACCGAAAAGGGACUUUUAUCUUUCAGUGCCCACCAGUUUCAUCCUGGCAUCGAAGUUUGUUUCAGUCUCUAGGUUUUUUCAACACCCCUAGUACCAGCCUCUUAGUCAUUUCUCUGCCCCAUGAUUUACAAAACUCUCCUACUUUAAAAACAACCACCUCUGGGUUUUAAAAACAAUCCCAGCGCCCUGUGUACAAUUUCACAACAAAGGAGAGAAGCGUCAAGGGCUGGGACGAUAGCAGAGGGGUCUGCGCCUGCAUGAAGACCCAAUUUCUUCCCGGGUGGUGGAUAAAGCUAAGGAGAUAAAAAAUGACCUUUCACCUUCGGGAACAGUAAUCGCCACCUCUCUGGAGCCUGUGCGGAGGAUGAAUUAGGAAGAAACAAGGCCAGACCACCAGUUGGCAGACUGCUGAAGUCAAGAAGUCCUCUAAGCCAGAAGUGAUGAUGCCAUGAACCAGGCUUCUUACAGAGUUGUGGGCCUGGCAGGUGACACAGAGGAGUUCUGUGCCCAGGGAGCAUGGUGAGCCAGACAACUGGGCAGCUGCUAGGUGGCUCCAGCUGAAUACGGCCAUAGAAGAAUGGGGCCCAGAGCUGCCAGAUCUUUUGAUUCUUCAAAAAGCAGAAAUCCGGAAUUCAUGUAGAAUCUCCUAUUUAAAAAAUAUUGACAACUAAUUUGGAGUUGUAAAAAAAACAUUGAGUGAAUUAAACAAUGUGAGUCUGCCUUAAAGCAAAACUUCUGAACAUGAGGUUCUCUUUUUAGAAAUUACAUGGUUGCUCACAACUCACUUUGUCUGAUGGGAUGGAGACGAGCUUGUAUAGGCCACCGGCUAACAGGGUUCAUCCAGUGCCCCCUACAUACUGUGCUGGGUGCCUUUCACAUCUGC